CCUACGUGAGGCAGCAGUGAGGAAUAUUGGUCAAUGGGCGCGAGCCUGAACCAGCCAAGUAGCGUGAAGGAUGACUGCCCUACGGGUUGUAAACUUCUUUUAUAAAGGAAUAAAGUGAGGCACGUGUGCCUUUUUGUAUGUACUUUAUGAAUAAGGAUCGGCUAACUCCGUGCCAGCAGCCGCGGUAAUACGGAGGAUCCGAGCGUUAUCCGGAUUUAUUGGGUUUAAAGGGAGCGUAGAUGGGUUGUUAAGUCAGUUGUGAAAGUUUGCGGCUCAACCGUAAAAUUGCAAUUGAUACUGGCAGUCUUGAGUACAGUUGAGGUAGGCGGAAUUCGUGGUGUAGCGGUGAAAUGCUUAGAUAUCACGAAGAACUCCGAUUGCGAAGGCAGCUUACUAAACUGCCACUGACAUUGAUGCUCGAAAGUGUGGGUAUCAAACAGGAUUAGAGACCCCAGUAGUC
Molecule: ribosomal RNA, 460 nt
Filed under: uncultured bacterium
Lineage: Bacteria
Description: partial 16S ribosomal RNA
Rfam family: Bacterial small subunit ribosomal RNA
Source: RNAcentral